This 408-nucleotide ribosomal RNA is filed under the name uncultured Rhodobacterales bacterium. Its description in RNAcentral is "bacterial SSU rRNA". It matches the Rfam family "Bacterial small subunit ribosomal RNA", at positions 24 to 480 of the family's 1533-position model. Lineage: Bacteria; Pseudomonadati; Pseudomonadota; Alphaproteobacteria; Rhodobacterales. The record is from RNAcentral.
UCAGAACGAACGCUGGCGGCAGGCCUAACACAUGCAAGUCGAGCGCGCCUUCGGGCGAGCGGCGGACGGGUUAGUAACGCGUGGGAACGUGCCCAGAUCUACGGAAUAGCCACUGGAAACGGUGAGUAAUACCGUAUACGCCCUUAGGGGGAAAGAUUUAUCGGAUUUGGAUCGGCCCGCGUUAGAUUAGGUAGUUGGUGGGGUAACGGCCUACCAAGCCUACGAUCUAUAGCUGGUUUUAGAGGAUGAUCAGCAACACUGGGACUGAGACACGGCCCAGACUCCUACGGGAGGCAGCAGUGGGGAAUCUUGGACAAUGGGGGCAACCCUGAUCCAGCCAUGCCGCGUGAGUGAAGAAGGCCCUAGGGUCGUAAAACUCUUUCGCCUGUGAUGAUAAUGACAGUAGCA